Molecule: small RNA, 117 nt
Filed under: Samsonia erythrinae
Lineage: Bacteria; Pseudomonadati; Pseudomonadota; Gammaproteobacteria; Enterobacterales; Pectobacteriaceae
Description: Fumarate/nitrate reductase regulator sRNA
Rfam family: Fumarate/nitrate reductase regulator sRNA
Source: RNAcentral
GCAGGUGAAUGCAACGUCAAGCGAUGGGCGUUGCGCUCCAUGUUGUCUUACUUCCAUUUUUUUGAAUUACUGCAUAGCACAAUUGAUUCACAACAAGCCGACAAUUUGUCGGCUUUU